GUUCUUUCAGGACUCUACACCAGACCCUCCCUUGAGUCGGGUGGACCACCAUCUUCAUGUGGCGGCCUUCCUCCCUCGGCGUCCCGCUCAGGUCGAGGCGCUCAGCUGCUCCUGUGAUGCUGUUCAGAGUCUGAUUAUCAGUCCAUCUUUUCACUGACUGAUCAGAGACUGACUCCUCUUUAGGUGGAACUACCUCUUUAAUAACUUGUUAAGUGUCUCUGGUAAUCAAUCUUCAACAUGUAACCAUUUUUUUUAUUAAUAAAUAAAGAGGAGUCUCCAUUUAUCUCCACAGCUUCACUCUCAGUCUCUGAUCAGUCAGUGAAAAGAUAUGGGGGGAGAUUUAUCUCAAAAUUAUGCUCAAAUAUAUAUCCACAAUUUCCACAUGUGACUUUCAGAUCCACAAAUGUAUUAUCAUGAUUUUCACGUGGUUUUUUUUAUUUGUUUGUGUGCAUUUAUCAUGAGUCAUCAUUCGUAAAUCUUAAAUUCUGCUUGUGAAUUGUUGAAAAAUGUGUUUGUGGAUCAACCGGCGCGUGUGUUUAUUUUUGAGACAAAUAUCACAGUUUUCAAGACACACAAAUUGAGGAUUUUCACGUGUGGAGAAAACCGCCUCUCCCAUCCACUGGGCGGCAGUGUUUCUCCCUCUGUUGAGAGAGGAAGAUGAUUGACAGCUGUCCACCUCAGAAGUGGGGAGAAGUUUCUCUGCUUCUAUAGUGGAAAGCUGUCAAUCAUCUUCCUCACAGUCUAUGCCCUUAGCAGAGAGACAGAGAGCUCUUUACACAAAUGUGGUCAAGUUUAACCCAAAAUAAACCCAAAUUCUGAUGAUUUAUUUGUUGUAUUUUAUGGUACAGGUGCUGGCAGUUGGACUUGACAUAUUGGAAGAAGAGGAGGAUCAUCAAACAGAGAAGCGGAUACUCUCAGGUAAUGUUAUCAUCCGUGUUUUUAAAGUUCAUCAGUGUUUUCAUUCCUGGAAAAUAAUUAUUGCGUUGUAGAUGAGACAUGACUUUAAGAAAACGUAGAGCUCAAAAC
RNAcentral lists this long non-coding RNA (1026 nucleotides) under Xyrichtys novacula (pearly razorfish). The record is from RNAcentral. Lineage: Eukaryota; Metazoa; Chordata; Actinopteri; Labriformes; Labridae.